GCCAAGAGUAUGUGUGGGGGGCGGGGUACCUGGAGGCUUAAAGACCCUUAUGGCCUCCCCUGAAAGCCAGGUGGGGGGAGGCUUCCUGUCGUUGUGCCUGCUUCCUCCUCCUCCUCCACCUCUCCCCCUCCUGCUUCCCCUCCAGCUCACAACACAUCCCCCACCCCGUUUAGCACUGGCCGCCAACAAGGCACCGCGUCAGGAACGCGUCUCCAGGCGGAUCUGCUCUUGCACUUGGCGCCACCGUGAGCACGAGUCUGUGUGUGGAGGGUCAGGCCGUCGCGGCUGACGUGUGUCCCUGGACGGGUGGAGCCCUACAGGCUGAAGGACUCGGGGCCACUCAGAAUAAAGAGAUGCAUCAGCCGUGUCUUCACGAAGGCCAGGAGGCUGGGCCUCUGUCCGGGAGCCUGUCCUGCCGCCAUGCCAGCGUCGUGACCCCUCUGCCCUCAGCGGGCUGCGCUUUCCUUGGGGGUCUCCUUUGUCAAGUGCCCGCACCCUCGGAUGGAGGGUCGUCAUCGGAUUGAAAGGGUGUUCUGAUUCUUGUUUUCCCCAAUGUUCCCGCUAAAAAGGGCGGCCGCGGGAGAGGAGCAUCCUCGAGGCCUUGGGGAGGUGGCGGGAGUGGAGUUCCCGCCCUGUCCCCCUGGCUCCCAGGACAACGUGUCACAUCGCUCGUGCCUUCCUGUCUCAGCACGCGGUCUCCUGCGUUUUGUGUGAACUACUGGGCUGCAUGGACCAAGAAGCAGAGGUGUUGCGAGAUGAUCGCUGAACAACCGGUGAUGGGCCCUGAGCCCUGGGACAGCUACUUCCCGUCUGGGGGCUUCACCUUCGAGUCCUUACAGCGCCCCUCGAUGUGGGUUCCUGACCUUCGCUGGAUGGACAGAGAAGCCGGGACUUGGGGCAAGUGCCUCAUUCAAGGUGGGCAGACGGAGACUUGACACUUUGACACACACAGAGGAGAAGCCACGUGGAGGCGCAGCAGAGAGAGACGUGAAGACACUGGCCUCCAAGACUGAGUGAUGUGGCCACAAACCAAGGAGGGCUGGCAGCUCCCAGAAGCUGGAAGAAGCGAGGAACAGAUUCUCCCCUGAGCACAGCCCUGCUGACACCCUGAUUUUGGACCAGUGAUGCUAAUUUUAGAUUUCUGGCCUCCAGACCUGGGAGAGCAUCAAUUUCUUUUGUUUAAAACUCCCGUCUGUGGCAAUUUGUUAGGGCGGCCCCAGGACACAAAAACAGGGCCUCACACCUGAUCCCCACAGGCUCUUUGCACCCGAGACAGCUUUCUGCAUGAUUCUUUGCCUGAGCAUGGUGAUGCGGCUGGCCACUUGUGUUCCGUACACACUGAACGGUGGGAAUAGCAACUAACACUUCUUAUCUAAGCACUUCGCAUAAAUAAACCCAAUCCCCACAAAGCCCCAGGAGACAAGCUCCUGUUGUUAUCCCCAUUUGACAGACGGGGAAACUGAGGCAAAGAGUGGCCGAGCGACUCGUCCACUGCAGACUCACCGGGGAGAGGCAGAGGAAGGCCACCCCGUUGCUGAGCAGUGUUUCACCGCUCCGUGCUGCCUCCUGAAGCCUCGCAGCUUAGAGAAGCAGAGAAGAGCAUGGGCUUGGAAGGCGUUCGUCCGUCCAUUCAUUCGUUCGCAGAUAUAUAUCGAGAAUUUCCCGGGCCCUGGAGGAGCAGCUGUCAACAAAACUCGUGCCCUCUGCUCAUGGAACAGGUGUCCCAGUGAGACAACCACCAGAAGUAUAGCGUGUUUGGUGGCUGUAAGAGCCCUGGGGAAGCACUGGGCAGGGCCAGGGUCUCAAGUCUGCUGCGGUGCAAGUGUGUGUGCAUGUGCACGGGUGUUUGCCUGUGUGCCUUCGAGUGUGUGCGUAUGUGUCAGAUGCAUGCUAUUUCCCACAGCGGGUUGGGGAAGGCGGCCGAGCAGGUGAGAUUCUGGCAGAGCCCUGUGGGGGCCAAGGAGCCAGCCUGUGUGCUGGAGGAGCCCGUGGCUGGGGCCUUGGAGGCAGGUGGAGCCGGAGCAGAGGAGGUUGGAGCAGGCAGAGGGGGCUGGCAGCGCAGAGCCGUGCAGGCAACUGUGCAAGGGCCCGGGGAGGACAGAGCCGAGGGAAAACAUCAGAUUGUCCCAUCUUCCCUGUGUGGCUGUGGGCCAGACGCCUCACCUCUCUGAGCUUGGCUUUUCCCUUGAGGUUCCUCAUACGCGCUGCCCUGCCCCCGCUCCAGGAUCUUUGCAAAGUUGAAAUCAGGGAGUGAUUGUGCCUGGCACGUGGUCAGUGUAUGUCUCCACAACUGAGAGCAAGGACACCACGCCCUGCCGACGGGUGUCCGAUGACCGGAGGUCGCCGCGUGCGGGGGAGGCCCCCACCCCAGGGAGAGGAAGCCCCACUUCAAGGACCUUCACAGUCCCUUGAUGAUAACUAGUCUCUCCUUCCCUUGGAUAGCUACUUAUUCUUGGAAUUUUCAUUUUCUUCUUGGUUCUAGGAG
Long non-coding RNA from Equus caballus (horse), 2485 nucleotides. Lineage: Eukaryota; Metazoa; Chordata; Mammalia; Perissodactyla; Equidae. The record is from Ensembl.